UACGUAGGGGGCAAGCGUUGUCCGGAUUUAUUGGGCGUAAAGAGCGUGUAGGCGGCCUGAAAGGUCAGCUGUGAAAACUCGAGGCUCAACCUCGAGACGUCGGUUGAAACCAUCUGGCUAGAGUCCGGAAGAGGAGUGUGGAAUUCCCGGUGUAGCGGUGAAAUGCGCAGAUAUCGGGAGGAACACCUGCGGUGUAGACGGCUUUCUGGACCAUUGCUGACGCUGAGACACGAAAGCGUGGGUAGCAAACAGG
This 253-nucleotide ribosomal RNA is filed under the name uncultured bacterium. RNAcentral's name for it is "partial 16S ribosomal RNA". It matches the Rfam family "Bacterial small subunit ribosomal RNA", at positions 524 to 776 of the family's 1533-position model. The record is from RNAcentral.